RNAcentral lists this small RNA (68 nucleotides) under Flavobacteriaceae bacterium MAR_2010_72. RNAcentral describes it as "Flavo-1 RNA". It matches the Rfam family "Flavo-1 RNA". The record is from RNAcentral. Lineage: Bacteria; Pseudomonadati; Bacteroidota; Flavobacteriia; Flavobacteriales; Flavobacteriaceae.
UUGCAUUAGUGGUUGAAGUGGUAUCCUUUUGUUGCAAACAAAAGAUAAAACGGAAAACACGACCGCGC